Molecule: long non-coding RNA, 891 nt
Filed under: Papio anubis (olive baboon)
Lineage: Eukaryota; Metazoa; Chordata; Mammalia; Primates; Cercopithecidae
Description: lncRNA (ENSPANG00000037262.1)
Source: RNAcentral
UUCUUUCUAUCCAUGAGCAUGAAAUGUUUCUCCAUUGUUUGUGUCCUCUCUGAUUUUCUUGAGCAAUGGUUUGUAUUUCUCCUUGAAGAGGUCCUUCACUUCCCUUGUUAGCUGUAUUCCUAGGUAUUUUAUUCCGUUUGCAGCAAUUGCGAAUGAGAGUUCAUUCAUGAUUUGGCUGCUUGUCUAUUGUUGGUGUAUAGGAAUGCUUGUUAUUUUUGCAGAUUGAUUUUGCAUCCUGAGACUUUGCUGAAGUUGCUUAUCAGCUUAAAAAGCUUUGGGGCUGAGAUGAUGAGGUUUUCUAGAUAGAGGAUCAUGUCAUCUGCAAACAAAGACAAUUUGACUUCCUCUGUUCCUAUUUGAGUACGCUUUAUUUCUUUCUCUUGCCUGAUUGCCCUGGCCUGAACUUCCAAUACUAUGUUGAAUAGGAGUGGUGAGAGAGGGCAUCCUUGUCUUCUGCCGGUUUUCAAGGGGAAUGCUUCCAGGUUUUGCCCAUUCAGUAUGAUAAUGGCUGUGGGUUUGUCAUAAAUGGCUCUCAUUAUUUUGAGGAGUAGCUGUGCUACAGGCCUUCUAGGUGCUACAGGCUGCAACAGAGGGGGCCUAUUGAGGAGUGAUAUGUGUGAGAAGAUCAGAAGAUUGAGAAGAUUAGAAAAAUGGAGAAAAGCAUAAAGAAGAAAAGAAAACUUGUCUGGUCUCCCGCCACCCCGAGUUGUGGAUCCUAUCCAGAAUUCAACAUUACAUUUAAUCAUAAUUUGUCCUUGGGCUUCUCUCGGCCGUGACAGUUUCUCCAACUUUCCUUGUUUUUGAUGACCUUGAUGAUUUUGAGGAGUGAUGGUCAGGUGUCUGGGGAUGUGUCUGAUGAUUUUUUUCUCAUGAUUAGACUGGGGUUCAGUC